GUACUUAUUAGGUAUUUGUCUAUUUUAUUUAUCUAUUCAGGUCACUUUUCAAUAGUUAAAAAUCCAUUAAUUUUACUGUUUAGCUGAAUUAAUUGCAUUCUCCUACUUUUAUGUUUCAUAUUUUUGUGCUUAAUUUGUUUCAAUCUUUUAUUUUUCUUGUUAAAAGGAAUCCAUUAUUAUUUGCAUUAUCAUUGACGACUGUGAGAAUCUGCAGAAAAAAACAGUAUGGAACUACAACUUCAUGUUCUUGAGAAAAGCUUGCAGUGUAAGAUGCGUUUGUUUGUGGUGCCUGAGGAAGAGAGCAGAAAAGAGAGUUGGUAGUGCUGAGCUGCUGAAGGUUCAUUACUACCUAGCCUUGAGAAUGGAGACCCCACUCGGUACUCUUCAUAAGAGAUGCCCCAACACGUCAAAGGAAUUAUGGAAGAAGAAAACUUAUUACUUCAUUCACGAAUUGUCUGGAAGCUAUUGCAUACAUAUCAUGAAAUGUCAGCAGCAAAACCCAGACAGGAAGCAAGUAGACAAGCAUCACUCUCCUUAGGAAGAUGAAAGCAUAUUACUUCAUUCAUGAUUUGUCUGGAAGCUAUUGCAUAGAUACCAUGAUAUGUCAGCAGCAAAAGCCAGACGGGAAACAAGUAGACAAGAAUCCCAAUGAUCUCUGCAAUUACAUUUUCAAAUAGAAACUGUUGACAAUCUACAUACUGAUGAAAUUAAUAUUUACUUCUGAUAUUUUAGACCAUGCUUCAGAGAGGACUGAAAUAUUUAGUAGAUGUUUUCACUUUAGUCAUGCAAUUUUGUAUUAAAGGCAAUAAGACGGUAUUCUAAAAACAACAUAUUUAUUUGUUGUAAAUUUGAAGUGUUUGGAUUUUCUGUAUUGUAUCAAAUGGCAAAAUAUCAUUGCUGAAACAAAGUAAAACAGAAAACAUCAACAAAAAUAUCACACAAAAAUGAAUAAUGGGUUUGUCAUCUGAAGCUCAGCAAGAUUUUAUGACUAAAACAUUUUAAGAAAUCAACACAUCUUGCUAUGUUUUAAGUUCUGAUUCCCAGACUGAAGUUUUGCUAAUGAAAGGCCCUCAUUUGCUGCCUCUUGUACGUCUUUUAUCUGCCUCCCCAACCAUGUCUAUUGAUAUUCUGUACCACAAUCGGGACUUUUCAUUUAAAAGUAGAUGAUCUGAUGAAGACACAAUAAAAUUUCAAACCUGUCCAGUACUGCCACUUCCUCAUCAGGGCAUCCUCACAAAGAUGUUCUCCUCCUCUCCUUUUGCACUCUCUGGUUUGGCCCAGUACGUCCAUCUUCACAGCACACAUGUUCAGCAC
RNAcentral lists this long non-coding RNA (1314 nucleotides) under Pan paniscus (pygmy chimpanzee). Its description in RNAcentral is "lncRNA (ENSPPAG00000044464.1)". Lineage: Eukaryota; Metazoa; Chordata; Mammalia; Primates; Hominidae. The record is from RNAcentral.